GAUGAACGCUAGCGGGAGGCCUAACACAUGCAAGCCGAGCGGUAGAGAUCUUUCGGGAUCUUGAGAGCGGCGUACGGGUGCGGAACACGUGUGCAACCUGCCUUUAUCAGGGGGAUAGCCUUUCGAAAGGAAGAUUAAUACCCCAUAAUAUAUUGAAUGGCAUCAUUUGAUAUUGAAAACUCCGGUGGAUAGAGAUGGGCACGCGCAAGAUUAGAUAGUUGGUAGGGUAACGGCCUACCAAGUCAGUGAUCUUUAGGGGGCCUGAGAGGGUGAUCCCCCACACUGGUACUGAGACACGGACCAGACUCCUACGGGAGGCAGCAGUGAGGAAUAUUGGACAAUGGGUGAGAGCCUGAUCCAGCCAUCCCGCGUGAAGGACGACGGCCCUAUGGGUUGUAAACUUCUUUUGUAUAGAGAUAAACCUUUCCACGUGUGGAAAGCUGAAGGUACUAUACGAAUAAGCACCGGCUAACUCCGUG
This 479-nucleotide ribosomal RNA is filed under the name uncultured bacterium. RNAcentral's name for it is "partial 16S ribosomal RNA". It matches the Rfam family "Bacterial small subunit ribosomal RNA", at positions 28 to 507 of the family's 1533-position model. The record is from RNAcentral.